GACGAACGCUGGCGGCGUGCUUAACACAUGCAAGUCGAACGGAAAGGCCUCUUUCGGGGGGUACUCGAGUGGCGAACGGGUGAGUAACACGUGAGUAACCUGCCCUUGACUUUGGGAUAACUUCAGGAAACUGGGGCUAAUACCGGAUAGGAGCUCCUGCUGCAUGGUGGGGGUUGGAAAGUUUCGGCGGUUGGGGAUGGACUCGCGGCUUAUCGGCUUGUUGGGGGGGUAGUGGCUUACCAAGGCUUUGACGGGUAGCCGGCCUGAGAGGGUGACCGGCCACAUUGGGACUGAGAUACGGCCCAGACUCCUACGGGAGGCAGCAGUGGGGAAUAUUGCACAAUGGGUGGAAGCCUGAUGCAGCAACGCCGUGUGCGGGAUGACGGCCUUCGGGUUGUAAACCGCUUUCGCUCAUGACGAAGCUUUGUGUGACGGUAGUGGGUAAAGAAGCACCGGCUAACUACGUG
RNAcentral lists this ribosomal RNA (467 nucleotides) under uncultured bacterium. Its description in RNAcentral is "partial 16S ribosomal RNA". It matches the Rfam family "Bacterial small subunit ribosomal RNA", at positions 28 to 507 of the family's 1533-position model. The record is from RNAcentral.